RNA transcript from Theobroma umbraticum, 1995 nucleotides. It is a transcript of the gene named basic leucine zipper 23-like, with no coding region annotated. Lineage: Eukaryota; Viridiplantae; Streptophyta; Magnoliopsida; Malvales; Malvaceae. The record is from RefSeq and is a predicted model, not a curated record.
AAUCUUCAAAAUUCAAUACAAUUUACCAUUUUCAUUGACCCUAUCAGCAAUAUCACUAGUAACUAUAAUUUUUCUUCCUUCUACACCUCUUCUCUGUCAUUAGUCUUUAAGCCUUUUUUUUCCUUAUUAUUUUUAAUAAAAAAGGGCGCCGCUUAUUUUCUAGGGUUUCAAUUUGUCGAAUCUAGGAUAACGAUGCUCCUUCAUCGAUUCUUUGUGCUUUUGGUUUCCUGUUGAACCUUUAUUGUAUCGAAUGGUUCUGCUCAUCCGAGGUUAUUCAACUUGCUGCGUGUUGUUUUCUUUUCGGAGUAAGACUCUUGUUGUCUUCUUUUUGUUGAUUAUAAUUGUGUGAUUCGAUUUCAGUUGAAAAUCUUUUUUUCUUAAAUAUCGUAAUGGUUGCUUUGAAUAAGUUCUGGAGUGUAAAUGUAUUGCUUUAAUUAGGUGUUUUUAAUAAAAGAAGGGAAUGGUAUUAUUAGGAUUGCUACAUAUUCCGACUUUUUCUUCUUGGUGUUGUUAAGAUCUACCAAGACAGCUAAUCGGGCAGGAUUUGUAAUCUGGGUCAGGUUCAAAAUCGUAAAUUUAUCUCUCCUUCAGUGGAGUCUACUGUUUCCCUUUGAUUCUCUUGGGGUUUGCUACUUGUAAAUGGACGACGGGGAGCUUGAUUUUUCGAACCAAGAAGUGUUUUCGGGCAACAUGGCUGAUAUUCCAAGCAGUUGCUCCAUGGACAGUUUUUUCGAUGAAUUACUCAACGAUUCUCAUGCUUGUACCCAUACACACACUUGCAAUCCACCCGGCCCCGAUAACUCUCAUACACACACCUGUUUCCAUGUUCAUACCAAAAUUGUGCCUGCCCCAACUGAAGAUACGGCUGCUAUUGAUGACACCGCGGAGUCUAGGGAGAAGAAAUCAAAGAAACGUCCUUUGGGUAAUCGGGAAGCUGUUAGGAAGUAUCGGGAAAAGGUUAAGGCACGAGCAGCCUCGUUGGAGGAUGAGGUUGUGAGAUUGAGGGCACUGAACCAGCAGCUGUUGAAGAGAUUGCAAGGUCAGGCCGCAUUGGAAGCUGAGAUUGCGAGGCUCAAGUGUUUGCUCGUGGAUAUUCGAGGAAGAAUUGAAGGGGAGAUUGGAUCGUUUCCUUAUCAGAAAUCAACAACAAAUGUUAACAUGAUGAAUUUGCCUGGUGCUUAUGUGAUGAAUCCCUGCAAUGUGCAAUGCAAUGAUCAAAUGUAUUGCCUUCACCCUGGGCCUGAAGUUAAAACAGGAGAAGCAGCAGAGCUGAAUGGGCAAGGAUUUAAUGGGUGUGAGUUUGACAAUCUUCCGUGUUUCGCAAAUCAGAACUCAGGAGAAAAGGAGCUUUCUACAUAUGGGGUUGGAAGUGCAGGGUCCAAUGGCAAUUCUUCUGGCACAAAAAGGAGGAAAGGUGCUAUGCAGCUACAGUAGGUUGAAGAACUUUUGAGGUCAGCAUUAUCCAUAUUCUGCGGGGUACAUAUUUGUCUUCCAACAAGCACUUUUCUUGGGCUGCAUCGCCAUCCCUCAGAUUUUAGGGAAGGUGGAAUAUCUUUGAUGUUUCAAUACUGUGAGCCCUUUGUAGGUGAGUUACAAGUUUCACUCCCCGCAGUCGUAGCUUGUGAUUCACUUGGGAAGCUACAAAUUAGCUUGCAUAGCUUUCAGCAAUUCCUAUUCCGGUUUUGCAUGACAUCAACUAGGCACAUGAAGUUUGCUUUUGCCAUAGCAUUCUGUUUGGGAAGGUUGCGAGAUGCCUACUCAAGCGGGAAGCUGUUGUUUAAACUGAGGUUUUGAUCAAUGGUCCUCUGAUGGAAACUCAUAGUGGUCAAAGAUGGGGUCGUUAAAACAUUACAAUUUUUUUAUGUAACUGAUAAUUGUCCCUGAGAGUAGCAGCUGCAUUCUGGCUUGCUACAAGCCUACAAUUGAAACAAAAUGGAAAGAGAAAUGUGCCUUUGAAAUUUAGGAAAAAAAAAGUUGAAUUUUGAGGUUGGCAAA